Molecule: ribosomal RNA, 253 nt
Filed under: uncultured bacterium
Lineage: Bacteria
Description: partial 16S ribosomal RNA
Rfam family: Bacterial small subunit ribosomal RNA
Source: RNAcentral
UACGGGGGGGGCAAGCGUUGUUCGGAAUUACUGGGCGUAAAGAGCUCGUAGGCGGUUUGUUGCGUCGGCUGUGAAAUCCCGAGGCUCAACCUCGGGUCUGCAGUCGAUACGAGCAAACUAGAGUGUUGCAGGGGAGACUGGAAUUCCUGGUGUAGCGGUGAAAUGCGCAGAUAUCAGGAGGAACACCGGUGGCGAAGGCGGGUCUCUGGGCAACAACUGACGCUGAGGAGCGAAAGCGUGGGGAGCGAACAGG